UGUGUGUGUAGUUAAAAGUUCCUUUAACCACAAGGCAAUUUAAAGCUCCUCAUUUUAGAAAUUGUAUCAAUGGACUUUUAAAACGGUGACUUCUCUGUCGAUUAACAAUUCCCAUUGCUACACUCCUGUGCAAAUUCAGGUGAAUUUAUUUAAAAUAAGAUUUUUAAAGGAUUGUGAAAGGUUUGGAGUUACAUGUAUAGUUUUCCUCUGUAUCCUAACAAUAAUAAUAUGGUUCCUAGUUUCAAUUUACUUAAAAGCUAGACAGAGUUGCCAGGCUAGUAAGAUAAAUUUCCUUUUAAAAAUUCACCUGGUUGAUUUGUGUUUCAUUUACUCUAAGGAUGUCCAAAGCUUUCUAGAAAUCCACCCUCCCUACCUGCUGCCAAACGGAAGGAAAGUUAUUUGCAAGGUCUAUCUCAGAGUUAUUGUGGCUUCAAUUCCAGAUCACACAUAAAAAUGUCAGUUUCUUGCUGUUUCUACCACCUCACCUCUGCACCCACCUACAAAAAGGGACUAGACACUGAGGAACAACAAGUACAAGGCCAGAGAUACAAAGGUGGUCAGUAAGGAAACUCAACUUAAACAAAGAUGGCAUUGAGCAUGUAAAUGAAGAUAUGUGCUUAAUAGUAAAAGUAAAAUUAUCCUUUCCAUAAAGAACAUGAAAUUACAAAUCUAUGGAGAGAAGAAGUU
Long non-coding RNA from Herpailurus yagouaroundi (jaguarundi), 687 nucleotides. RefSeq lists it as uncharacterized. Lineage: Eukaryota; Metazoa; Chordata; Mammalia; Carnivora; Felidae. The transcript has 4 exons. The record is from RefSeq and is a predicted model, not a curated record.